Morus notabilis is the source of this 527-nucleotide long non-coding RNA. RefSeq lists it as uncharacterized. The transcript has 2 exons. The record is from RefSeq and is a predicted model, not a curated record. Lineage: Eukaryota; Viridiplantae; Streptophyta; Magnoliopsida; Rosales; Moraceae.
GAUAGAUAUAUACUGUCAUACUGAGAUACGCAGAAAACCAGAUUGAUUGAAGAUCAGAUACGUCAUCGAAUGUAUAACUCCCGACCAAUCCCGACCAAGAAGAUCGCCAUUAUAUGGAUAAGACAGCACCUGAAAAGGAGGUUCCUGAGGAAGUGACUAGAGAGUCGCUUAUUUCCAUUUCUUACUCUCUACCGGAGAAUGUUCUUACUUCGAAACCAUCGUCCGACAAGUUGAACGGAGAGAAUCUCGUCGGAGGAAUAGAUUGUGAUGGAGAAGAUAAGUUUAGAUCUGAACUGAUUUCUAUUUCUUAUACGCAAUCACCAGAUGUGGGAGGCUUACCCGUUGCUCUGGGAGGAGAACUCAAGGAUUAGCGUGGAAGAGUAGAUUCUGUUGUUUUUAUGGUUAGUGUCCGAGUUUGAGUGCCUUGGAUCUUGCUCUAUGAUAUUUGGCAUUGUAAAUUCACCUAGAAAACUGUUAUACGCUAGAAAAGCUUUGUUGAGACCAUGAAUAAAAAUGUGGUUCCUAUA